This is an RNA transcript of Ictalurus furcatus (blue catfish), 1042 nucleotides long. RefSeq lists it as uncharacterized. The record is from RefSeq and is a predicted model, not a curated record. Lineage: Eukaryota; Metazoa; Chordata; Actinopteri; Siluriformes; Ictaluridae. The transcript is spliced from 8 exons.
AUGAAUAUUUGGGUUCCCUUCUUUCUCUAGCUUCAGCUUCUGGAUCUUCUGGUGUAAUUAUAGGACUGAGUUUGGCCUUCGUGUUUGUCAUCUUAAUGAUCGUACUGAUCCUGCUGCUGCACUUCAAGAAGAAAAAAGGUGUGGAAUAUCAGACUCCUUCUACAGUAAAUCAGGACACCAAUCAGCCUGCAGAUGGUGAUAACAUCUACGAAAAUGCUGAUAUCAGGACCACAGAUGAUUCUGCAGCUGGAACCAGCAAUAUGAUCCACUCACAGGAUGUCCACAGAAACAAGACACAAAAUGAUGCUGCUGCUGGACUGAGUGAUGUGACUUAUGCUGAUAUUGAACUGAAAAACCAAAAGAAACCAAAGAGAAAACAAGGAAAGAGCAGUGAGGGAGCUGACACUGUUUAUUCAGAACUGAAGCAGAACACAGAUAAAGAUGCUGCUGCUGGACCAAGUGAUGUGACUUAUGCUAAAAUUGAACUGAAAAACCAAAAGAAGCCAAAGAGAAAACAAGGUGGGACUAAAUUCUUUCAAUUUAUGUAUGGCCACUGUUUUAGAUUUUAUUUUACCUUUACACCCUUUAAUUAUUUGUCAGUUAUUCAACCUAAAGCAUCGUAUUCAGUAACUGCUACGAAUCAUUCAGUAACUAAAAUGAAAAUAAUGGAAGGUAAUAGAGGUAAGUGUAAUGUAGUUAUGGAAGUUUAAGGGGUUAAUAGAAUGUGUGUUUUAUCUUAGCGGAUGCUAAAUCAGUGACUGUUUCCCAUUAGGAAAGAGCAGUGAGGGAGCUGACACUGUUUACUCAGAACUGAAGCAGAACACAGGUCCAUGAAGAAAGUCUAGAGUCUCCAAUCAAGAAUUGUUGAAACAGCUGAAGAACAUAUUUACAUAUUUAUACACAUAUUUUAGGGGGCACAUUGUAGUGUCUGGAAAGCUUGUUUUUUGCUUAAUACAAAACUAAGCAUUGUACCAACUCCUGAUAUGAAUGUUAAAGGAGGAACAGGGAGCAAUUUUAAAAUUAUAUUUCCUUUUGUUCACAG